CGAGCGGCGGACGGCUGAGUAACACGUUAGUAGCUACCCCCUACUCAGGGAUAACCAUUGGAAACGAUGGCUAAUACCGGAUGGUCCCGAAAGGGUAAAGAUUUUUCGGUAGGGGAGGUGCUUGCGGCCUAUCAGCUUGUUGGUGAGGUAAUGGCUCACCAAGGCUAUGACGGGUAACUGGUCUGAGAGGAUGAUCAGUCAGAGGGAAACUGAGACACGGUUCCCACUCC
RNAcentral lists this ribosomal RNA (230 nucleotides) under uncultured bacterium. RNAcentral describes it as "partial 16S ribosomal RNA". It matches the Rfam family "Bacterial small subunit ribosomal RNA", at positions 92 to 339 of the family's 1533-position model. The record is from RNAcentral.